GGGGUUGUGGCUCAGUGGUACAGCACUUGCCUAGCACGUGAGAGGUGCUGGGUUCGAUCCUCAGCACCACA
RNAcentral lists this transfer RNA (71 nucleotides) under Marmota monax (woodchuck). Its description in RNAcentral is "tRNA.Ala". It matches the Rfam family "tRNA". From Rfam's summary of the family: Transfer RNA (tRNA) molecules are approximately 80 nucleotides in length. Lineage: Eukaryota; Metazoa; Chordata; Mammalia; Rodentia; Sciuridae. The record is from RNAcentral.